Molecule: long non-coding RNA, 2954 nt
Filed under: Taeniopygia guttata (zebra finch)
Lineage: Eukaryota; Metazoa; Chordata; Aves; Passeriformes; Estrildidae
Description: lncRNA (ENSTGUG00000018980.1)
Source: RNAcentral
AGAUCUGCCCAUCCAGAGAGGCAGGAUCACAGCAGCACCUCUACCAGGAGAGUUUUCCAGGCAUUUUUCAAUGUCUGCAAGAUCCUGAGAAUCCCAAACCAAGAAGUAUCAUCUGCUGCAGAAACCUUUUGCUGGUUUCCAGCAUAAUGUCAUCUCUGGAGUUGACACAGCAAAGAGUCACGGAGCAGGGCUGCAAGUUCCAGCAAGCCAAGGGCCUGGGAGGGAAGGCUACACCUACAGCCUGCACUAACAUUCCCUGGCUUUUUCCAGCAUCUGACAGACGCUGGUGUCAUUUAGGAUUUUUUGUGGAGGAGACACAUCAGCACAGUGACGGAUCCUGUCUGGUGCCAUCAGCAGCAGGGCGGCGUGUCCCCAGAGUAACGCGAGAGGACUGCCAUUCCUGCAGGGAAGGAUGCUCAGCAGGAGGUGUCAGCCCGGGAAACACAACAAUGGUUUCUCUCCCAUCACUUUGGAAACUUUCAGGAUGGGGGGAAGGCUGAGUCUGAAGAGGUGUGCCAAGGACUUGCACUGAAGGCCUUGGAGCAGACUUCACACCCAGGCAUCGUCAUCAUCUCAUGCCUGUCAAGGGAAAAGGAAUAAGUGUACUUCAAGUGGCUGUUUCCUACAGGAUGUGCCCUGUGGGGUAAGGAAUGGAACUUCUGAGCCCUCCUCCCACUAGCUGACACUUCCCACUGCACUCCCUCGUCCCCUCUGUGUGCAGAGCUGCAGUCACAAAUCAUGGGGUUACUUAGACUCUUGGAAAAAAAAAAUAAUAAAAGGAUGCACGUGUUUACAAUGCUAUUUCCUUAAUUCUCAAUAAAGGAUCCUAUUUGCUUCCUCCUCCAUAAGUCACCUCUGGCUGAGCAGUGUGGGAGCAGGAUGGAAGGAAUGGUGUGAGUUAAAACUCCAGUGCCCUCUAGCCAGCACAGCUUUGGCUGUAGCAAGGGUCUUCACAUCCUUUACUCCAUCAGAGGACUUCACAUUCCCCAUGGCCAUGUGGAGAAAAGCCUGGUGCAGUUCUGGCCAUGCUGCUUUGCCUGCCAGGCAAACAGGGAUCCAAAAUGCAGAAAGGCUGAGCUAUUCAUCAGCUGAUGAGCACCAGCUCUCCAGACACCUAGCCACCAAAUCAUCCAAAUCACUAAAUCAUCAUGGGGCAUUCCCCACCCUGAAGAUCUCAGCUAGAGCUGCAGGUAUAAUUUUAUAUAGCAGACAAGGGAAAACUGCCUGCAAAAAAAUCAUGUCUGCAUUUGUGUUAGUGGGGAAGGAACCUGAUCCUGGGCUCUUUCCCUGUGCAACAAAGCAGGAAGCACUGAUAUUGAGUGCACUUGUAGCACAAUGCCACGUUCAGUCUCGUCUGUGCAGCUCAGAUCUAGGCAGGCCUUGUCUUUUGCCAGCAGGAGAUGCCACGGCACGGCUCUUCAGCGGGUGGGAAGUGCUUGGAGGAGCUGCUGGCAAACAGCAGGCUCGGAGGGAUGAACCAGCAGAGGCAUGCACAGAGCAAGUGAUAAUUUCCGUGCUGUGCAAUUACAGCUGGGAAGGAGUAAACCUCUGGUGCACAAACCUGCCAACAGUUUACUGCCGACGAGGAAACAAAACCGACAGUUGACACUGGAACAGCUACUGAUACCCUGUAAUCAUCUUAAAAAUAGACUCUUUGCAAACCUGCUUGUUAGUAGUGAGAACAUAUGCUCUUUUUAAGAGAGGGGGGAGAGAAACCUUUCAGCAUCUCCAAAGCAGCGUUUGCAUUAGGCAGAGCACGUGUUUGGUGAAGUUGAGGCUGGAAGCUUCCCAGAACCUGGUCCAGUACUGCUGGGUGACCAAGGCACAUCAAGAUCCUGCACUGCUGCAGCACAUUGUGCAGCGUGAAGAACUCUUAGUCCUCUGAGCCCAGCAGCCAGUGCUUGCACAGCUAUUGCAGGCAGACAGCUUCUUCCAUCUUACUACACAUAUUUGUUCCCCAGGUUUCUGGUGCACAGCUUUCACUCAGGGUGAGUCCUCCCCACGGCUCCUUUUAACCACAGCCCCUGGCCAGGGUGAACAUCAUCUUUGUGCCAAGGCCUCUGGAGUCUUGUGCCAGCCUGGAGCAUUGUCCAUCACACCAAGCUGGAUGGCAGCACGACCCUGGCCCACAGAAAGUGCCAUGAGUAAGGUCUUCCCAGGAAAAAUAGCACUUUUCAGGACAAAUGCAGGGUCCGUCAAAACAGAGACUGGAGCCAGGAUGUGAUCUAUUCUAGGUGGGUUUUGUUUCCUUGAUUACAUGUUGCUUUUGUUGGAUCUCUUAGAAGACAGGCCUGGUUUGCUUCCUAACAUGUUCAGCACAAAAUUCACUCACCUGCAACUUCUGUCCCCUCUGUGCUCAGCACAGCAGCGCUACAGGAGAGAGAGGGACACGUUCCCUCAAUAAGUGGAUUUCAUUUUGGUAGGAGCCAUUUAGAAAUUAUAUCCACUUCAAUUUGGGCAGGGAUCCAAGGUUAACCUCCCUGCUCUCGUUAACAGAGCUUUCCUCUCAAAAACCCCAUCAGCUCAGUUUUACAUCUUACUUGGGAAAGUCAGUGCAAUGUUACACUGGGCACUGAGUGAUGCCUCAGGUUUUAGCUUUUCUAUUUUACAGAUUCUGUGCUGCUUUAGUGUGUGGGUCUGGGCUUCACAUUAGGGGAUGGUGAGCUCUCUGCACAGAGCAGGGAGACAAAACAAUUCCUUCUCCAGCUGGGGACCAAGGACAAAUGAUCCAAAUCUCAGCCCAGGAGCACAAACACCGUGGGCUGGAGAGAGAAAACAAGAAGGAUGAGACUGCAUGGGCUGGAAUGGGACAAUUAACUCCAAUAUGCAAAUGGAGCAGAGCUUCUAAAAGUGUCAGACCAUGUGACCAGUUGUGCAUUUUGUGACCAUUUUGGGUUCACCUUGGGCUCUUGCGCUGCCCAAGGUGGAUCCAUUUGAGGCCUUUUAAUAAAUCC